RNAcentral lists this ribosomal RNA (1207 nucleotides) under Campylobacter portucalensis. Its description in RNAcentral is "Bacterial large subunit ribosomal RNA". It matches the Rfam family "Bacterial large subunit ribosomal RNA", at positions 1 to 1229 of the family's 2925-position model. The record is from Rfam by way of RNAcentral. Lineage: Bacteria; Pseudomonadati; Campylobacterota; Epsilonproteobacteria; Campylobacterales; Campylobacteraceae.
AGGUAAGCUACUAAGAGCGAAUGGUGGAUGCCUUGGUUGGUAGAGGCGAUGAAGGACGUGCUAGACUGCGAUAAGUCUCGGGGAGCUGUCAAGGAGCUUUGAUCCGGGAAUUUCCCAAUGGGGCAACCCAGUUAAUAGUAAUAUUAACUACUAUAUUUUAUAGAGCGAACGUGGGGAAUUGAAACAUCUUAGUACCCACAGGAAAAGAAAUCAAUAGAGAUUACGCUAGUAGCGGCGAGCGAACGCGUAAGAGGGCAAACCACUAGUUUACUAGUGGGGUUGUAGGACUGCAUAAAAGACAAAAACUUGCUAAUAGAAUAACUUGGAAAGGUUAAGCAUAGAGGGUGAUACUCCCGUAUAUGAAAGCAACUUUUUACUUAGCAGUAUCCUGAGUAGGGCGAGACACGUGAAAUCUUGUCUGAAACUGGGUAGACCACUAUCCAACCCUAAAUACUACUACCAAACCGAUAGCGAACAAGUACCGUGAGGGAAAGGUGAAAAGAACGGGGGUGACCCGAGUGAAAUAGAACCUGAAACCAUUUGCUUACAAUCAUUCAGAGCACGAUUCUUUAUGACGUGUGAUGGACUGCCUUUUGCAUAAUGAGCCUGCGAGUUGUGAUGUCUGGCAAGGUUAAGGAUACCCGGAGCCGUAGCGAAAGCGAGUCUUAAUAGGGCGAUAAGUCAGAUGUUGCAGACCCGAAACGAAGUGAUCUAUCCAUGAGCAGGUUGAAACCGGUGUAAGAACCGGUGGAGGACCGAACCCGCUAGCGUUGAAAAGCUAUGGGAUGACUUGUGGAUAGGGGUGAAAGGCCAAUCAAACUUCGUGAUAGCUGGUUCUCUCCGAAAUAUAUUGAGGUAUAGCGUUAUGUAGUAACUAAAGGGGGUAGAGCACUGAAUGGGCUAGGGCAUACACCAAUGUACCAAACCCUAUCAAACUCCGAAUACCUUUAGUGUAAUCAUAGCAGUCAGGCGGCGAGUGAUAAAAUCCGUCGUCAAGAGGGGAACAACCCAGACUACCGACUAAGGUCCCUAAAUCUUAUUUAAGUGGAAAACGAUGUGAAGUUACUUAAACAACCAGGAGGUUGGCUUAGAAGCAGCCAUCCUUUAAAGAUAGCGUAAUAGCUCACUGGUCUAGUGAUUUUGCGCGGAAAAUAUAACGGGGCUAAAAUAAGUACCGAAGUCGUAGGCUUGACUUUUGUCAAGCGGU